RNAcentral lists this ribosomal RNA (239 nucleotides) under uncultured Pseudomonas sp. RNAcentral describes it as "partial 16S ribosomal RNA". It matches the Rfam family "Bacterial small subunit ribosomal RNA", at positions 115 to 354 of the family's 1533-position model. The record is from RNAcentral. Lineage: Bacteria; Pseudomonadati; Pseudomonadota; Gammaproteobacteria; Pseudomonadales; Pseudomonadaceae.
GCCUAGGAAUCUGCCUGGUAGUGGGGGACGAACGUUUCGAAAGGAACGCUAAUACCGCAUACGUCCUACGGGAGAAAGCAGGGACCUUCGGGCCUUGCGCUAUCAGAUGAGCCUAGGUCGGAUUAGCUAGUUGGUGAGGGUAAUGGCUCACCAAGGCGACGAUCCGUAACUGGACUGAGAGGAUGAUCAGUCACACUGGAACUGAGACACGGUCCAGACUCCUACGGGAGGCAGCAGGA